This 257-nucleotide unclassified non-coding RNA is filed under the name uncultured Sordariomycetes. RNAcentral describes it as "sequence contains ITS2". Lineage: Eukaryota; Fungi; Ascomycota; Sordariomycetes. The record is from RNAcentral.
AACGCACAUUGCGCCCAUUAGUAUUCUAGUGGGCAUGCCUGUUCGAGCGUCAUUUCAACCCUCGGGCCCGUACGGGUCUGGUGUUGGGGCCUUUGCCGCGAGGCAAGCCCUGAAAGCAAGCGGCGGGCUCGCUGUGACCCCGAGCGUAGUAAUUUACACCUCGUUUAGGGCGUCUGGCGGGCGGCACCAGCCGUAAAAGCGCUGUAAUGCACUGAAAAGUUGACCUCGGAUCAGGUAGGAAUACCCGCUGAACUUAA